CGGUUUUAUUUCCUAUGCACUGUAUGUCUGUGAUCCACACAGAGAUUUUCUAUAAUAAUUAGGUCUGCGGACUGUGAAUGCCAUUCUAAAGCCUUAAUCUUUCGUGAAGUAGUUCAUGGUUGAUUUUUGAGUAUGGAGUUUUGUUUUUGUCGCGUUCAGAAAUCCAAUCCCUUUUCAGUUUAGGAUUUUUCACUGACUGUG
Pelobates cultripes (western spadefoot toad) is the source of this 201-nucleotide non-coding RNA. The record is from the annotation of a GenBank genome assembly. NCBI's taxonomy places the organism in Eukaryota, Metazoa, Chordata, Amphibia, Anura, Pelobatidae.